GCCCUCUUCCCCUGAGUCAGGGCUGGAGGCCAAGAUCAGUCCUUGAGGAUCAGCGUUGGUGCCACAAGCCGGCAGGCUUGUUUUCCGGCCUCAGGCACCU
Molecule: non-coding RNA, 100 nt
Organism: Vulpes vulpes (red fox)
Lineage: Eukaryota; Metazoa; Chordata; Mammalia; Carnivora; Canidae
Source: Ensembl